This is a long non-coding RNA of Coturnix japonica (Japanese quail), 1722 nucleotides long. The record is from Ensembl. Lineage: Eukaryota; Metazoa; Chordata; Aves; Galliformes; Phasianidae.
AUGCAGCGGGGAUGCAAUGGAGGCGCAACAAGAUGCAGCGGGGAUGCAGAGGGGAUGCAGAGGGAGCAGCCGCGAUGCGGUGCAGCGCUAUGGGGCGGAGGGGGGGGCUCACCUCUCACAGAAGGUGUGCAGGCACGGCAGCACCUUGGGGUUGCGGUAGCGGUCGAGGCAGAUGCUGCACACCAGGAACUGUUUGUCAAUCUGCCGCACCACCGGGCUGGCGUUGGCCUCCCGCUUCGCCAUGGCGGCGUCCCCGAGGCCCCGCGGCGCUCAGCCUGCGGGCGGGGCUGUCAGUGUGCGCCGGGCCCCGCACCGCGCUCAGCCCCGCACCGCGCUCAGCCCCGCACCGCGCCCGGCCGCAGCCGCCCCGCCGUUAAAGCAGCGCAGCGCCCGGUCCGGAGCGACCCCGCCCGCCCGGCAGCGCUCACCCCGCACCGCCGCCCCCGCACCGCUCCCCGUCGCCCAGCGGCCGCCCCGUCCCCGCACGCCCGGUUCCUCCCGCGGGCACCGCCGCUCCCCGCCCCGCCCCCCCCGCCCCGCCGCGUUGUCUCCCGGCCCCGCGUCCGCUCCCGGCGCUGCGGCGGCCCCGCGGCUGCAGGCCCCGGCGCGGCCCCGCCCCGACGGCCAUUGUGCAGGCCCGGCACCGCGACGUCACCGCCCGCCCCGCCCCGGGGGGGCGCGGGGAACCGGCACCGGUUUGGCGCUGCGCGGCCCCCGCCCGCCCCGCGGUCUCACCCGCUCCCGCUCCCCCCCCGUCUCCCGCACCGCUCCCCCCCCCCCCGCCCCGCGGCCGCUCUGUCACCUUCCAGCCCGGUUCGGCUCGGUUCGGUUCGGCUCAGCCCCCGCCGCGGGCAGCCGGGGCCGGGGGGGCGGCAGCGCGCAUCUCCGCGGCUCGGCUCAGCCCGGCCCGGUUCGGUUCGGCCCGGCCCGGAGCGGCGGGGACUGCGCCAGGGCUGGGCGCGCUCCGCAGCCGCAUCUGCCCGAGCGGCGCGCACCACUGCGGGGGGGGGCGGCCCCGAGCGACCCCACGGCGGCACGAGAGGAGCCCGACCCCCCCCGGUACCGCAACGCCGGGACCCGCGGAGCAACGGGAACCGCUCGGAACCCACGGUGGGAACGGAGCGAGGGGCACCCACGGGCGGCCACGGGAGAAUCGCACCGAACGCCCCCUCCGCGCCCCGCCGAUGGUCUCGCCCGGGCUGUGGCUCUGCAGUGGGGGGGGCUCCGGGCGCGCUCCCCGCAUCCCCGGUACCCGGCGGUCGCCACGGCAACGGGAUCCCGCUCCGAGCAUCCCCGGGGGGGGCGGUGAAGCUCCCGGACAGUUGCCGUGGGGCGCGGAGCUCCCGACCCCGCCGCUCUCAGCCCCGGCCCCAGCCGCCCUUAUCGCCCCCCGCUCACCUCGGCCGAUCCAUGCGGGCACGGAGAUGCCCCGGCCGGGCCGGGAGCUCCGGUCCCGCUCAGCCCCCGAGAGUCUCCGCACCGCGGCCCCGGCCCCGGAGCUGCCCGCGGCGGAACCGGCCGGGCAACAUUCCUCGUGCCGUCAUCGACACCGGCGCUGCCCCGGCGCCACCGCGAGGGGACACGACACCGGAGAGACGGGGACGGACCCGCGGGGAAGGGACAGCGGGGGAUGAGGAUCCUCCAUGGGGGCACCGCGUCCCGCAGCCCUCACACCCGAGGCGGGACGUUACGGGCAGAUGGAGAAUAGGAAAUAGGAAAUAG